GCGAAAGAGAAACAGUGGCACAGCACGAAUCACUCAGCUAUUCGUGACCAAAGCAGGACGCAAGCGAAGCGAAAUGUUUACAACCACCCUUUAAAAACUACCCCUGUUUGAAACAACCCUCGUAACGGUCGCAAUGAAGCUUAAUUAUUUAAGAAAAUUUCAAUUUUUAUAACCAAAUGAGAAAUAAGAUUUUUUUUUUAUUAUUUUAGAACAUUUUUUUAUCGAGUGUAUCUAAAAUGAGAUCCAUAAUCAUACUUAAAUAAAAAAUAAAAAAUACUAAAAAUAA
Anopheles stephensi (Asian malaria mosquito) is the source of this 286-nucleotide long non-coding RNA. RefSeq lists it as uncharacterized. NCBI's taxonomy places the organism in Eukaryota, Metazoa, Arthropoda, Insecta, Diptera, Culicidae. The record is from RefSeq and is a predicted model, not a curated record. The transcript is spliced from 2 exons.